AGCGUGUGGUGUGUGGUUUUAGUUGGCCCCGGGUUCCCUCCAGCCUCCGAAUGUCUUCUCCAGGUAGAGAGCCACCUCGAGGGUCAGAUGGUCCUGCAGCUUCCCAGCAACGACCUGCAGGCCCAGAGGCAGACCUUCCUCACCCAGACCCAGAGGACACUGUGUGACCGGCAGCCCGAGGAUGUUGAUUAUACCUGGAGGCAGGGAAGAAUGGAGUAAGACUGAACACUUGAGGCAGGCAAGCUGAUAUAUGACGAGGACUGACCUGUGUAGCAGAAUUCAAAGGGUCUGAAGAGCGUGUGAUGGUGUUUGAGAGCCACUAUGGGGUGCGAGGGGUAAAGAAAAA
Long non-coding RNA from Sebastes umbrosus (honeycomb rockfish), 346 nucleotides. RefSeq lists it as uncharacterized. The record is from RefSeq and is a predicted model, not a curated record. Lineage: Eukaryota; Metazoa; Chordata; Actinopteri; Perciformes; Sebastidae. The transcript is spliced from 3 exons.